This 387-nucleotide ribosomal RNA is filed under the name Haptophyta sp. Its description in RNAcentral is "partial small subunit ribosomal RNA". It matches the Rfam family "Eukaryotic small subunit ribosomal RNA", at positions 582 to 975 of the family's 1831-position model. The record is from RNAcentral. Lineage: Eukaryota; Haptophyta.
AUUCCAGCUCCAAUAGCGUAUAUUAAUGUUGUUGCAGUUAAAAAGCUCGUAGUCGGAUUUCAAUGCGGGUUGACCGGUCUGCCGAUUGGUAUGCACUGGCCGAGCCGUAUUUCCUCCCGGAGACCUCGUCUACUCUUAACUGAGGCGGACGGGGGAAACGGGAUUUUUACUUUGAGGAAAUCAGAGUGUUCAAAGCAGGCUUUUGUAUGUAUGUGUUAGCAUGGGAUAAUAAAAUAGGACUUGGGUGCUAUUUUGUUGGUUUCGAACACCUAAGUAAUGAUUAAUAGGGAUAGUCAGGGGCACUCGUAUUCCACCGAGAGAGGUGAAAUUCUUAGACCAGUGGAAGACGAACUUCUGCGAAAGCAUUUGCCAGGGAUGUUUUCAUUG